RNAcentral lists this long non-coding RNA (2266 nucleotides) under Rattus norvegicus (Norway rat). RNAcentral describes it as "long non-coding RNA NONRATT020137". The record is from RNAcentral. Lineage: Eukaryota; Metazoa; Chordata; Mammalia; Rodentia; Muridae.
GUGAAUUUCUUGUUGUUUUUUUGUAAUUCCUUAAGAACUUUUGAUAAACAUAGUUACUAACAGUAUUGCUAUUAUUAAGAAGAAAUUUAAAAGUUUAUCAUUAGGCAAGUUGAGGUGCUUGCUUAAGCAUAGAGUAAGUUUAAAGAAACAUUAACUGGCACAAACAAGAGAUUGGAAUAAUGUUCAGCUACCAUAAUGAAACCUCAUUUUGAUAUUGUUGUAGACAUUUGCUACUUGUGUGAUCCAAAGGCCAUUGGUGUCACCUGGUAUCUUAGUAAAACUUCAGCAUUUCAAGGGCAGACCUAGUAAAUCAAAGCUGGCAUUUUAUCAAGGUCCCCCGUUGUGCUCCUGUGCAUUCGCCUGUGUGAGGGCGUUUCAGAGCGCUAAUUACUUGUCUAAUAGGUAGGGUCCUCAGUGGUCUCACAGCCCUCAAGCACAGGAACUGGACACGAGAUCAUUAUAAUCAUCAUAGUUUCUGAUAACUAAGUAGCUUUUUAAUAACAUUGACAUGUGACUUCUUACAGGCUCUCAUUCUAAAUUUCCAUUUCUCACUUGUUUCUGUUAUAAAAAUGUAGCAUCUUCUGCUUCUCUCUGGUCAUGAAUGAACCCAGAGCUGCAGAUGCUGCAGUUUGAGUAGGAAGCCCCUGCCCUGUUCUUGAGCUGUCACAUGAGACACAGCACAGCUGUACACACAUCCAUCCUCUUUUACAACAUGGGCAACAGCUUACACAGUGGAUGAGUCUGAAGUUUUGCUCCAAACCAAUUGAUUUUCUGAAGUGUGUAGUUAUGUUGACAAUAAAACUCUUUUAUACUACUUUUGAUAGUGUUCCACAUGAGGAUUCUGUGCAUGGAAGGUCUCAUCCCAGCUGUGGAAGCGGCUGCUGUUAAUGGUAGCAACAGUUGUUCUGACCGCUCUUCCUACUCACCUUCCAAAUGUGAGACAUUGUGUGGCUUUGUAAGUCACUUUUUUAUAGAGAUGCUAAUAACGUAGGCAUCUCACGGACCCAGAUGAAUAGCUUUUACCAAGAGGAUUCCACACAAAACUGGGGUCUGGCACCCCAUAGUUAGAUCUAGAUAGGACUUUUUGAAUUGACCCAACCCUGUGUUCCCGUGAAGCAGUGCCUGGCAUGAACCUCUGCUGUCCAACUGAAGAGAAAAGCAGAGUAGACCUUUCCAAGGAUCCCGCUGCCCAAGUGCUACCUUCUGCUUCCGGGAGCCUCAGGAAAUCACCUUGAAAUGGCGGGACACUGCCUGAACUCUUAAGUCCAUCUCUGUAGCACUGAAGAGCAGGGAUUCCAGACUUACUUGUUCUGAAAAAGUAGUGUUUUGUUGCCCUCUCAAUUUUAAAACAACAACUCUGCAAAUACCACUCAGUUGUAGAAAGUUGAAUUAAAGGGAAAUAUGUCUUUAUAUCAAAAUAGAUUUUAAAAAAAUCCCAGUUUAAAGGGAUUUUCACAGAUUUUGAACUAUCAUAGUUAAAGUGUUGAAUGGUAAAUUAUGGAGGAAAGUAUACUCUAAAACAUGAUUUUAAGCAAAGAGUUAGAAUAAGACAGCUAAAUGUUUAAUUCUGCAGGCACAUUAAACCUCCAUAAAGGAAAGCACACUAAGGAAGCAUAUGUUCUGUAUUGUAACUGAGAAAUAAUAACACAUAAAGUGUUGGGAACUAAGGCAUUGUAGAUAGGAAUUAGUGUACAGUAGUGUCUUCCCAGCCCCUGAGUGAAAGGCUGAAGCCCAGUCCUUUAGUGAGCACGGGUUACCCUUGCACCUUUGCUGCUGGGUGCUGGCACACUGGGUAAUUGAGCUGUGUUUAAUACUGCUCACGUCUUCCCCAGAGCACUCAUGGGCUACCUUCUAUACUUUGUAACUUGCACAUAUCCAAAAAGACUGAGCGUGAACAGUUUGAAGAUGUUUUGUGUUUUGCAGUAGAGUGCUAGUGGACACAGGCCUCAAUUAUUGUAUUUUUGGGCCCCACACUGUCUCUCUUGUUAGAACUGACCGUGUGCCUCUGACUUUUGCUUCUGAUCGAUCAUGUGGUAAUGCUAAACUCUUCUCACAAAUAUACUUGUUUGUCAUUGUAUGCCUAGCGUUUACAUUCCCAAGAAUGAACUUUUGGAUAUUUUUAUGUGCUCUUUAUGUUUUUGAGGUAUGAAAUAAACUGGAGUUGAGUUCUUUGAAGUUUUGUACAUUUGCAUAAAUGUUCUCCAUAUGCUGUACUUUAUACAUCAAGUGUUUCCUCUUGUUGAAAUAAAAACUAAAAAAAAAAAGU